Long non-coding RNA from Schistocerca piceifrons (Central American locust), 163 nucleotides. RefSeq lists it as uncharacterized. Lineage: Eukaryota; Metazoa; Arthropoda; Insecta; Orthoptera; Acrididae. The record is from RefSeq and is a predicted model, not a curated record. The transcript is spliced from 3 exons.
CCAACGCUGCAACCGACACCGUAGCGCCCAAAGGGCGUCGUGCGGGAUCCUGCAAAAGAUACGGGAGGGCGGAAACGUUAUAACUAGCACUCCCGUUAGGUAGGCUCACAGCAGAAGGACGGAACAGCUGCUGACAGUCUGGCAAGUAGCGUGGCGUAGCGAU